This 455-nucleotide ribosomal RNA is filed under the name uncultured bacterium. RNAcentral's name for it is "bacterial SSU rRNA". It matches the Rfam family "Bacterial small subunit ribosomal RNA", at positions 340 to 786 of the family's 1533-position model. The record is from RNAcentral.
UACGGAAGGCAGCAGUGGGGAAUAUUGCACAAAUGGGCGCAAGCCUGAUGCAGCCAUGCCGCGUGUAUGAAGAAGGCCUUCGGGUUGUAAAGUACUUUCAGUCGUGAGGAAGGUGUUAAGGUUAAUAACCUUAGCAAUUGACGUUAGCGACAGAAGAAGCACCGGCUAACUCCGUGCCAGCAGCCGCGGUAAUACGGAGGGUGCGAGCGUUAAUCGGAAUUACUGGGCGUAAAGGGCACGCAGGCGGUUAAUUAAGUUGGAUGUGAAAUCCCCGGGCUUAACCUGGGAAUGGCAUUCAAGACUGGUUAGCUAGAGUCUUGUAGAGGGGGUAGAAUUCCAUGUGUAGCGGUGAAAUGCGUAGAGAUGUGGAGGAAUACCGGUGGCGAAGGCGGCCCCCGGACGAAAGACUGACGCUCAUGUGCGAAAGCGUGGGGAGCAAACGAGGGAUAGAUACC